GACGAACGCUGGCGGCGUGCUUAACACAUGCAAGUCGAACGCUGAAGCUCAGCUUUUGUUGGGUGGAUGAGUGGCGAACGGGUGAGUAACACGUGAGUAACCUGCCCUCUUCUUUGGGAUAACGCCCGGAAACAGGUGCUAAUACUGGAAAUUCACUGAUCUUCGCAUGGGGGUUGGUGGAAAGGUUUGUUCUGGUGGGGGAUGGGCUCGCGGCCUAUCAGCUUGUUGGUGGGGUGAUGGCCUACCAAGGCUUUGACGGGUAGCCGGCCUGAGAGGGUGACCGGUCACAUUGGGACUGAGAUACGGCCCAGACUCCUACGGGAGGCAGCAGUGGGGAAUAUUGCACAAUGGGCGAAAGCCUGAUGCAGCGACGCCGCGUGAGGGAUGGAGGCCUUCGGGUUGUAAACCUCUUUCGCUCAUGGUCAAGCCGCGACGUGGGUUGUGGUGAGGGUAGUGGGUAAAGAAGCGCCGGCUAACUACGUG
Molecule: ribosomal RNA, 483 nt
Filed under: uncultured bacterium
Lineage: Bacteria
Description: partial 16S ribosomal RNA
Rfam family: Bacterial small subunit ribosomal RNA
Source: RNAcentral